UCAUAAUUCUGAUAUGAUAUGAUUAGUUUUUGUAAACGGGUCAUAUUUGACCCGAGGACCACAGGAGGGUUAAAGAAACACAGGACUGUAUUGAUCAUUCUCUCUUUAUUACUGGUUAAAGCAAUAGACUAAAAAUAAAUCAAAUAACAAUGAAAAAUAAAAAAAUAAAUUCUAUAAAAUUUCCUUUACAAUAAAAAUCAAUCUGAUGUAAGAUUAAGUUGUAAAAGGAUUGUGGGUAUCAGGAAUUAUUAACAGUCCCUGUCUGGAGUCAAAACUUGCGAAAAUCUGUCAGACAGCCAAAUCUAUCUGCAACCAAAGUUAAAUACUCACACACUAACUCAUGACUGCAUUUCCAAGAUAAGUUAUUCAUUUACCGCAGCCUAGCUCUAUUGAACAGAUAUACUUUGAUGUCAUCAUUCCUCAGAUCUUAUUGGACACUGACAGUAAGAAUUAGGCUACCGAUGUUAGACGACAGUGGACUAUAUUGACAUCAUUAUUGCUGUAUCCUGCGCACAAACAAACCAGGUUUCCAACAAGAACACAUUAACAUAUGCCAUCCGACAAGGACUCUACAAAACUCCUGUAGGAUCCAGUGUAAUUAUUGCAUCAGGUCUAAAGGGGAAUUCUGCUCGGAGGAACAAGCGCUGCAAUGUGAAAUUGUAUAUCUUGAAGCAGUAACAGCAGAGAGGUAGAGCCUAUGAGUGCGCAUCGAUUGGUACCCUCUGGGGUGCGGAUAUCAAAUGAGGAAACCCGGUCAGACAUAUGUCCGGUAAAGAAAAAAAAGAAAAAAAAGAAGAAAAAAAAAAAGUCCGGUAAAGAGAUGGCCAGACAGAAGUUCCACAGAGGUUUUGGUCCUCACAAGACGGGGAUUCAUUCAGCACUAGCGACAACAGGCUACUCCUUCUCUGCUCGUCUCAGAGUCCCCAAGAACUGAUCGCCGGACCGGUGCGUUUGACGCACAUCUUUUCCCGGGAAAGCCACCCUGUCUAACGUGGAUCAGCUGUUGCCGGCCCAAUCUGAAAGUGACCUGUUGGCUGGGCCAGAGGCUGCAACACAGGACAUGGGUCCUGCUUCCUCUUCCCGCUCGUGUCUUGUGUUGCAGCCAGUGGAGUAGCCUGUCUGCCGGUCUGUCUGCUCAUCGCUGAUGGACUGAGCUCCCACAAUCAAGGGCGAAGGUUUCGUUUCAACACUACUUCAAAAUAAAUGCCCUCUGCUACUUUUAUGUUUUUAGGGGGAACAAUGCAAUGCACAUGUUCUUAAUAUUAUAAUUAUUAUUAAAUACUAAGUAUGUAUACUGUAUAUGUAUGUAUGUACUGUAUGUGUGCUCCUUGCUUUACAGCUAGCUUGUGCCUUGUCGAGUGUAGUUUUCAUAAUCAACAUAUUGUCCUCUCUCACAGUUUAAAUAAUAAAUGAUUUAUUUCAGAGAAAAA
Long non-coding RNA from Etheostoma spectabile (orangethroat darter), 1430 nucleotides. RefSeq lists it as uncharacterized. The transcript has 2 exons. NCBI's taxonomy places the organism in Eukaryota, Metazoa, Chordata, Actinopteri, Perciformes, Percidae. The record is from RefSeq and is a predicted model, not a curated record.